GCUUCCCCCUUGCCUUUGAAAUCUAACAUUUUCCCUUCAAACAGACUACAACUUACAUACAGAGUUUUUUUGUGGUAUGAAGGAUCAAUGUUAAAUAAUCAUUAAUCUUGUAUGUCAUUUAUUCGGAACAAAAUCUAGAAAAACCUUUCAAAAUAUGUACAUAAAACGGGUUAUUUAUAUUUAUUAAUGGAUAGAAACACUGUUUUAUUUUUGGCUCUAGUGAAAUCUUCAUUCUAUAGGACAGGAAUCAUCAAACUCAAUAAUACUAGAAUAAUAUUUGGUGGUCCAAAACAUGAAAGAUUUGCUUUGAACAGGGUAACUAACUCUUAUGCAGGUCAGGCCAAUUUAAAUAAGAAUAUAUGCACAUGCACAUUACAAUAUAACUACUGGCAUGAAUUCUCAUCAAACUAUCCCUGAAAUCUUCCAACUUUACAAAUAUAUUCAGUGGAAUGAAAAGAGCAAUAUAUUUUCAUCUUGCAGUAAAAAUAUAAAAAGUACAAUUUUAUUCUGAAAUAAAUGAGAAAACUUAAAUUUCAUUCUAUAGUACAUCCACAUUUACAAGCAUUUAAUAAUAUAGGUAAAUUAUACUCAUCAAUACAGACUUCUAAGGGUUUCAAAAAUACAAUACUUAUGCUUUUAAAGAGAUGUAGAUUAUAAGUCAAUAACAGAGCAUCCUAACAACACACACAAAAACAAAAUGUCUAGAGGUUAAAAUAUGGUCAUAAUAAAUUGGUAAUUCAUAAACACAUAAUUGAUAGCACCCUGUGAUCAGUUUCAUCAGAAAUCUUAUGACUAAAGUUGAUUGUAAGUCCUGAAUAAUUUGGUAUACUUACAAUCAAUUUAAGUACCAAGAUUUUUUUAUAAGCCAAUGAAUCAUCACAAGACGCUGUUAAUCAUGAGUUUUGAAAAUUCUUUGUCAUGGUUAAUUUUGUUCUACUAAAACACAUAAUAAAUAUAGCUUCAACAAAUGAAAGUUCCAUUGGAGUUAUCAUGUCACAACACUUCUUCCCAUUACUCAGCAGUCAACAUAUGGUUUUCAACAACAGACUAGUGUUGAUGCCUUAUAACAAUAACUUUCUCCCAAAGCUGUAUAACCAACAUAAACUAUGAGACUAUUCAACAACUAAAGGAAUAAAACAUUAAGAUAAUACCUUAAAACAGCAAUUUUUCCAUUUGUAAAGGGGCUAGUGACACCACCAACAUUCAAACUUGAUCUGUAUUAUGUGGUAUUAAGCAUGGUGUAUAAGUUUCAUAACAUUUGGUUGAGGGAAACUUAAGUUAGAGAAUGGAAACCAACUUUGGGACGUACGUACAGACAAGGGUAAAAAUUAAUGGCCCCUCUGCCAUGGCAGGGACAUUAAAACUAAUCAAAUCAAAAUCUUGGUAUAGUAUACGGCAAUAACUGCACAUAAUGAAAAACAUUUCUACCAAGUUUGUCAAACCGUCUCAGAGGAGUUACAUUCACCAAUUUUUUUUCUCUUUAAGUUCUGACUAUGGGAUUUAGCAGAGGAAGCAGAUUUGAGAGUGUACUGAAGAUCUAUUGAAUUGUGCAGAUAUAUAUAAAAACAGGACUAACUCUUCACUAGAGAAUGCUCUGCAUUGCCAAAUGAAAGCUCUAAGAACACACAUUUCCGUUUUAGUUUUAAGAAAACCACUUUAUACUAUUCUGUUGGUGGGAAUUAAUAACAGAUUUUGAUUCUGUGUGUUCUGCUUUGUAUGAAUUAGUUAUUACAUAUAAAUUGUAAAUUGUGUAUAUAUUCAACAACUAUUAUUAUAUAGUCAAAACAACUUCAUCAAUUUACAGAAACAUUAUACAACUAUAUAUUCAAACAAUCAAUUUGCAUAAAAAAAAUACAUGUAUAUAAAUAUUAUACUUAUUAAAUAAGAUUAAAUUUAAGUUUGAAAAGAGAAAAUGUCAUACAAC
Molecule: long non-coding RNA, 1924 nt
Filed under: Mytilus galloprovincialis (Mediterranean mussel)
Lineage: Eukaryota; Metazoa; Mollusca; Bivalvia; Mytilida; Mytilidae
Source: RNAcentral